RNAcentral lists this ribosomal RNA (494 nucleotides) under uncultured bacterium. Its description in RNAcentral is "partial 16S ribosomal RNA". It matches the Rfam family "Bacterial small subunit ribosomal RNA", at positions 28 to 507 of the family's 1533-position model. The record is from RNAcentral.
GACGAACGCUGGCGGCGUGCUUAACACAUGCAAGUCGAACGGUGAAGCGCCUUCCUUUUUGGUGGGUGUGGAUGAGUGGCGAACGGGUGAGUAACACGUGAGUAACCUGCCCCCUUCUUCUGGAUAACCGCAUGAAAGUGUGGCUAAUACGGGAUAUUCUGGGUCUGUCGCAUGAUGGGUCUGGGAAAGAUAUUGUUUCGGUGGGGGAUGGGCUCGCGGCCUAUCAGCUUGUUGGUGGGGUGAUGGCCUACCAAGGCGGUGACGGGUAGCCGGCCUGAGAGGGUGGACGGUCACACUGGGAAUGAGACACGGCCAAGACUCCUACGGGAGGCAGCAGUGGGGAAUAUUGCACAAUGGGCGCAAGGCUGAUGCAGCGACGCCGCGUGAGGGAUGGAGGCCUUCGGGUUGUGAACCUCUUUCGCCAGUGAAGCAGGCCUGCCUCGUUUGUGGGUGGGUUGACGGUAGCUGGAUAAGAAGCGCCGGCUAACUACGUG